This 354-nucleotide RNase P RNA is filed under the name Coxiella sp. (in: g-proteobacteria). Its description in RNAcentral is "Coxiella sp. (in: Bacteria) RNase P RNA component class A". It matches the Rfam family "Bacterial RNase P class A". From Rfam's summary of the family: Ribonuclease P (RNase P) is a ubiquitous endoribonuclease, found in archaea, bacteria and eukarya as well as chloroplasts and mitochondria. Lineage: Bacteria; Pseudomonadati; Pseudomonadota; Gammaproteobacteria; Legionellales; Coxiellaceae. The record is from RNAcentral.
CUUGUUAGCUAGACAGUCGCUGUGAGUGCUUGCACUCAUGGAGGAAAGUCCGGGCUCCAUAGGGCAGAGUGCCAGGUAACGCCUGGGGGGCGCAAGCCUACGGAAAGUGCCACAGAAAUUAUACCGCUGGUUUCGGCCAGUAAGGGUGAAAUGGUGCGGUAAGAGCGCACCGCGCUUAUGGCAACAUAAGUGGCAGGGUAAACCCCACUCGGAGCAAGGCCAAAUAGGUAUCUAGAGUUCGCUCAACGCGUGGUCCGCGCGAGAUACGGGUAGGCUGCUUGAGGUUGAUGGCGACAUUAAUCCCAGAUAGAUGACUGUUCACGACAGAACCCGGCUUAUCGGCUAACAACUUUA